UGCGGGGUGGAGCAGCUUGGUAGCUCGUCGGGCUCAUAACCCGAAGGUCGUUGGUUCAAAUCCAGCCCCCGCUA
Oceanospirillum sp. is the source of this 74-nucleotide transfer RNA. It matches the Rfam family "tRNA". From Rfam's summary of the family: Transfer RNA (tRNA) molecules are approximately 80 nucleotides in length. Their secondary structure includes four short double-helical elements and three loops (D, anti-codon, and T loops). Further hydrogen bonds mediate the characteristic L-shaped molecular structure. tRNAs have two regions of fundamental functional importance: the anti-codon, which is responsible for specific mRNA codon recognition, and the 3' end, to which the tRNAs corresponding amino acid is attached (by aminoacyl-tRNA synthetases). tRNAs cope with the degeneracy of the genetic code in two manners: having more than one tRNA (with a specific anti-codon) for a particular amino acid; and 'wobble' base-pairing, i.e. permitting non-standard base-pairing at the 3rd anti-codon position. Lineage: Bacteria; Pseudomonadati; Pseudomonadota; Gammaproteobacteria; Oceanospirillales; Oceanospirillaceae. The record is from Rfam.